Molecule: transfer RNA, 66 nt
Filed under: Tropidocephala brunnipennis
Lineage: Eukaryota; Metazoa; Arthropoda; Insecta; Hemiptera; Delphacidae
Description: tRNA-Leu
Rfam family: tRNA
About the family: Transfer RNA (tRNA) molecules are approximately 80 nucleotides in length. Their secondary structure includes four short double-helical elements and three loops (D, anti-codon, and T loops).
Source: RNAcentral
GCUGGCUUGGCAGAUAAGUGCUUUAAAUUUAGAAUUUAAAAAUGUAAAUUCAAUUUACAGUUAGUA